CAAAACAAAGUUAAGACAAAUAAAUUAAAGGAAGAGAGUAUUAAUUCUAUGUAAGCACCUCAAGUUUACCUGUACGUAGUUUCUUUGAGUUGAAGAACUUGUCUUAUGGUUUCUCCCAAUAACCACAACUUAUAUGGAAAGCAUUCAGUGAGAGGAAAGUCUCGGGGUGAGUGAGGUCAACUUAUAAUUAGAUAUUAUUUCAUAUUAUUGAAGUGAAGUGAGUCAACAUCCUAUACAUUUCUUCAUGACUCUGUAAGUGCAACUCUUUUUUGUUUUCUAGAUUUUUUUUUGUUGUUUGGUUUUAAGGUGAGACGGCAUGCAGUAAAUCCUCAUGGUUUGAUAUUUUUUCGUAUUUCGUACAUAACAAGAGUUUUUAUAUAUCGAGGUGCCCCAGUUUUGAUUUUUAGUGUUCAAAUCUAUUUGAUCUUGUACUGAUUCUACUCUUAUCUAAAUUUCAAAAUUCCUCGUUUCUGACAAUUUGAAUUUUGUUGUUAUGGAUGAUUGAACCUCGGAUUGUGUAAAUGCACGCUUUCAGUAUGUAUUAGUAAUUGAUAUGUAUAUUAUCGGAAGAAUUAAUUUAAAUAGAUGUUCACUCAAUCGCUUAAACUAAAAAUAGUAAUGCAGAUGUAUAAUAGAGAAGUGCAAGUCAAAUAUAAGUAUGUGUGAAACCAAGAUGUAUAAUAGAAGUGUAAGUAAUAUAUAAGUAUGUGUGUAACCACGCACCCAAGGGUGUAACCUAGUUGGUCAAUGAAGUGGAUUGUAAACUUGAGGUUUAUAUUCAAAUUCAAGCAAAGAUAAAAAAAACUCAUAUGUGUCCUAGCUUUGCUGGACAGAGCUACCUAGAUAUCUUGUAGAUUAGGUCAAGGUGCGAAAAACUCCGAUAUCAUGGUUAUCAAGAAAAGAAGUGUAUGAUCAUAUUUAAUUAGUGUAUAGUUUAUGUACUACAGCAUAUUUGUUUCCUGUUCUUCUGUCUCUUCUGUAUGUUUACUUGUUAGUUGUUAUGGUGAAGUCAAAAUAUUUUUGCUAAAAAUGUUUAACAUUUAGUAAUUAUAUAUGUAAAGUAAUUUUUGAAUUAUAUAUACACAAGUAUAAUUUUCUUUAAAUACGAUGUGAUUUUCUUGUAAAGGUUGUUCAAUUUCAGUGUAUUGGCCAUGCAUUGUUGGUAGCCAUUCAGUGGAUACUAAAUUGUAUAAUAUUCAACAAUUCCUCGAUGAGGAAAGGUAUCCGUCCGCCCAUCGUUUUACUAGCCAACUAUAUAUUUUAAUUAUUUUAAGUCAUAUCUCGUCACAGGUUGCCUUCUCAGUAUCGUGGCUCACACCAAAAUCGUGUUUUAUCCAUGGAUAUCCAGUAAAGUUCAAUAGUAUCACACAUGAUACUAGCCACGUAUCUCUAAAUAUAUAUAAAGGGUAUGAAUUCAUUGCAGUAUAUUGCUCUUCAAUUUUUUUUAAAAAAACUUUAAUUUGAAGAAUUCAGUCAAAAGGAGGGAAAAAACUGUUAGGCUCGCCAAGGCCAAGCUUCGGACAUUUUUUUUUUUUCUUGAAGUUUAAUUUUUAUGCACGUCGCUAGCAUCACUUACCAGAAAUCCAAAAUGUUCCUAAUUGUCCAGACGUAAGUUAAAAACAAUCUCCAAAGAAAUAAAGAGGGGCAUUUGCACAAAUAACCUUUUUCAAGACAACCAUUUAUGCGUUGUUUCCCCUUAGCCCAGUAAGAUAAUAAAUAUGUUUGUAAUUAAUGGAAAAUUCAUCCAAGGCGAAAAUAAAAUGUGUCCUCAAUCCAAAGAAUACUGCAAAGAAUGAUAUGAUAGAGCAAAUUUCAAAGAGUGAAUGGUAGUAACUCAUAGCAUAAGAAUUUCAAACUAUGUGAAGCAGUUGUAGCAUAUAGUGUGUAGAGUAUUCCUCAAGAAUGAGUUUAAUUCUCAAAAAUAAAGGCAUAAGCCCAUAUAACUCCCCUCUCGAGUCGUAUAUGUCAAGUACAGAAAUCAAUUAAUCAUCAUCCAAUAGAAACAAGUAAUAAGAUCAUGUGACAUGCAACAAUAACACUGAAUAUAUAGAACUGCGAAGCAAACAGAUGAAUAAUUAGGUUUAUUGAAACUGCACGUAUUAGCUAUUUCUGGAAACACCUUGACUUUAUGAUAAUUUUGCAGGUUAUUCCCUUGGAGCCUCUACAAGGAACUAUUUGACAAAUACAAGGAUAAUCACAAGAGGAAAUUCAGGGUCACUCUCUGUGGUGGAAGGUCAGACAUUUCAUUCACUUUUCUAUUUUUCUUCAUCCCAGCUAUCUGCAAUAUGGGCAUAAUGCAUAUUGUUUGUUAGAAAAAAACAUGGAAGAGGUCUAAUUUGUCAUAGCAGAAUCUAAGAAAACUUUGGUGAGGUAACACUUUACAUUGUCCUCCAGAAGUUUGUUUUCCUCUCGCAGCAGUUUUUCCUGCAAUAAUUAAGGGAUAUUGAUAAUGUGCAGUCUGAUGGAAAAUUUCACAUGAUAUAAUUCAUCCUUAAACAAUAAAAGAUAUAUGAUGACAGCUGUUGAUUACAAAGCUACAUAGUGCUGUAGAAAGCAGGGGAGGGCUAUUAACUUGAAGGAGUGGAGACAAUUAUAUGAGAUUUGAUCAGAGAUGCCUAGAGUAUUAAGUCCAAUAGUCAAUUAAGUCUUAACAUACUUUAUUCUAUCGAGAAACUACGAGGACAAGUGAAUGUUCUGUGCCUCUUUAUACUCCUUUUCCAAAAUAAGCUAAUCUAGUAUAUUAAGCUUACGCAAUUUGUGACUGACAUUAGCAUGCAAGAGCUACUGACUAGUCAGUUGAAAACUAUGUUGCUCGGACCCUCCAAAAAUUUUUGCCGCACUCUUGUUGGAUCCUCCAAAAACGCAUAGCUUUUGAAGGAUCCGGCACACACCAGGCGAUACUUCUGAAGAGUUCAAGCAACAUAGGAUAAAAGAUGCUAGUUUUUCUGAUAUAUGAAGGUUUGAAUAGGCUAAGCCUAAAUCUAACGCACCUUGAUCUGCGCAUCAAAGUUCAGGGCAAAACCAAACUCAUUACUUCAGGAAAAACUAGUAUUCAGGAUGUUGUGUAGUUCAGUAGUUCCUGAAGAUGCAGUAGGAUAGCUUACCAGAAACAAAGCAAUGAAGUGUCAAUGGAAAUGAAAACGUACUUGCUCAUGAAGAUCCUUAACAGAUUCAAGCAGCAAAUGUGUCUGCAUAAAACAAAACUACUUAGAUUUAAUAUGCUUCAUUUUGAGGUACUAACUCAAGCAGAGCCAGAUUAAAAUACUGAAAUUAAACACUAUUCAUAAAUCUUAAAACAAAUGCGAACACUAUUCAAUAAAACAAAUCAGAUGCUUAUAAAAAGAAAAAGCGAAAGUAAACAAAAAAAAAGGUAUAGCUGGAGGAGUUCACUAAUAAUUGUGGUUUCUCGAUAUUUGGAUUAUAAAAUAAACCAUGAAACAUAGCAAUUAGCAUUAGAUCAUAUAGAGUUUUGAGAGAGGUGAAUGAAAACAACAAAUGAGGUACUUACCUAAGGGUUUUCAUGUCUGAAAGCACAUCGACGCUGUGACAGCUUCUAGUAUUAGUAAAGGUAGAGGACUAAGAAGGGAAGCCUGGUCCUUUUUAUGUUUAUUGUAACACAAUGUAAUUCCAAUAAGCAAAGGAACAGAGCAAAGUAAAACACCUUUCUAGAUCUGGUUUGUAUUAGAGUAGUUUGAAGUUCAUUUUCCAAAUGUACAAGGUCAGUCACAGUGAGACCAUCAGCAUUAGUUUCCUCGAAUUGCCUGUUAAGUUAAGACAGAAUCAGUCAUAUAAGCUAUCAGAAUCAGUCAUAUAAGCUCUAAGAAACAAAAGUAAAGAACAAGAUCAGUACCUUUCUGUUGCUUGUAGCAGUUCUCCCAUUGUCAUGAACCUUGAGUAUUUAGACAGCUAUUUCCACCUCAAAAUGAUUAGCAAACUUUCAGCACAAAAAAUAUAAAACUGAUUGUUAAAGAUAAAACUGAAUAACAACCAAAUGAUUACUGUGGAUACAUUGCAACAUACACAAUCAACAAGAAGAUAUUUCUUUGAUAGGUACAUUUUAGUUGAACAGCAGCAUGACUUUGAUGCACUAUGACAAAGAGUAAGUAUUAUUAAUAAUUUGGACCUUCGAGUCUGGGAGGCACGCCAGUGUGCAUAUUUAAUAUAUUUUUGGACUUGUUAAAAAUACAGGAAGUUACAUAUUAACUUAAGAACUUAUUUCAAGUAGAGAGGAUCUGGCUCAUUAGAUUAUAACUUGAUAGCAGUCAACUAAUCAAGUACCUCCGAGACCUGGAUUUCUGGAGAGAUCUCUUUUGCUGCUUCGACGUGCCUUUCGUAUCUUUGAAGUAUCCCUGUCAUACUGGAAAACAUAUUAUCAGAAAUGCUUGCUGGUGGAUAAGUAUAAGGAAAUAUUAUGCGGGAGCAGAUCAAUUUUGUAUAGGUUUUAACUUAAGAGUGUAUCAGAAAACGAACACUAUGUUGAUCACUUUGUUGUUUUAUAAAUAAAUACUAUAAUAUAUUUAUAAUGACAAAAACAUUUUCUUGGUUGCUAGGUUUAUACAUUGUUAUAACAAGUGAUGAUGAUGAAAACAGUACUCAACUUGAGCAGUAUUGUCAGUCACUUCUGAAUCAGAGAUCUAUGAAAAAUAACAUACUUCCU
This 4657-nucleotide long non-coding RNA is filed under the name Capsicum annuum. Its description in RNAcentral is "long non-coding RNA (CANN_LNC018683)". Lineage: Eukaryota; Viridiplantae; Streptophyta; Magnoliopsida; Solanales; Solanaceae. The record is from RNAcentral.